UUGAGAAUGUGCCCCAUAAAAUUCAGUGGGGCUUACUUCCGAGUAAACAUACAUAGGCUUGAGCUGUAAAUAAGCCUGCGGAAGGUUACUGGCUGUUUGGUAAGCAGAGCAUAAUUUUAAGUGGCAGCAGGGGGCAGGGUGGGGGGUCUGCAAGGGAAAAUCUUCAAUGAAACAAUGUACAAUCGCCCUUCGCGAUGAGCUUAAAGAAGAUGAAUAUAUGUAUAUCAUGAAUGGUCUCAAGAUUCACUUUGGCCCAUCGGAUUGUGCCAGAGAACAGCAGGAUAGAAAUUAAUAGGCACCAGGCACAUCAGAUAAAGGGUUGGUUCACCGGACUUCGUCCAUGAUGACUUGCAUGGUGAAGAGGCCCUAGCAAAUGUAGCACCACAGACAAAACUGUCGCCUCACAGGUCCUUCAUAAUGUUGGUAAAAGUAUGUACAAAUCAAGAGAUGUUAAUGGAAGCUCAUCUGGAAUCUCAUCCACUUGGUCUGAGCUGCUGCACGUCCAGCUCAAGCUUACAGCUGGAGAAAACACAGGAAGCAGAAAGAGAGCCAGCUCAUAUGAUUUUUCUGAUCACCUGCUGCAAGACACUUGAGAAUAGUGAACCAAGGAAAGGCCAGAGUGUAUAAAGAAGAAUUGAUUGUUGCUGUUGUUUUUUGUAUCAUAGCAGGUUGUUGGGAGCUGAAACCAAAUUUCACUUAGAUUCCAACACGAAUGCCAUUUCAAAAUGCAAAUUGCCAUGUCUCAAACCCAAGCUUUUUCCCCAAGCUAAGCUUGAUAAAGCCUGAGAAAGAAAGAGAAAGAAUAGUAUAUUGAUUAGAUGGCUGAUGACACCAGUUUGAAAGAAUGGUAGUUCACAUUUAAUGGUGGAUUUCAGUGUCAAAACACUUGAUGUUGAAUGUUGGUAGAGAAAUCUAAGUCCCAAUAUUAGAUUUAGAAUACCAAUGUUAAUUCUAACAUUGUUAAUUAACAAUGUUAAUUCUAGGAAGUUCCCCAUUGCUUUUGCUUGACCAAGCAGUACAAAAUACAGGAUGGAAUACCAAUGAGCUUAGUUGUGCUGGUAUUUUGUUUCUGUGCCAUUAUGCUGAAUGGCAAAUGUCCUUGCCAGAUUGAAGCCCUACUAUGGUACCAUUCUUUGUGAUAUUCCCUCCUGGCUACCACACUGGACUCUUACACUUACUUGCUGUGCGCAAUAUGAUGACGGUUCACUCAAGGGUGUGUGAAAAAUCAGAACAAGGCCAUAUAACAUGUACUGUAUGUUCAGACUGGUCAAUGACAGCCAAUUGCAUGUGUUUCUUCUGAUCAAAUUAUUCCAUACUGUGGGCUAGAUAUGAAAUGCUCAGAGUGAACAUCUCAGGGAUGUUUGUAGAAUGUUUUCCCAAGGGAUGUUUAUCAGGUACCUUUUAGGUUACUGGUUUUAAAAAAAAUAAUCUUUUAACCAAGGCCCUUUGUGAAUUUGAGAAGUGUUCAAUUCAUAAUUAUCAACGUCUGGUCCGUGACUGAAAUAACUUCAGGGAGUUACACCGCGGUUACCUUAGCUUGUCUGGGCAUUGUUCCUUGAUGUCCUUCUUCCUUACAGGUAGUUUGGAUUUGAACCUUCCUGCAGGAAAGCUGGUGGCUGAUAUCCUGACUAAUCCUGCACGUGUGCUCUUACCAGCACCAUUCCUGCAGCACUAACUUUGAUGCUCCUGAAGCAUUAGUACUUUUGCACAAGCACACAAUGAUCCUUGCCACUUUCCCCCUGCUCCAGAAGCCUGCAGAAACGCAUCCCUGGGGGCUGUACAACCCUCGGAAAUGUAUUUCUGUUGUCAGACAGCACUUCCGGAGCAAGGUGCACUUUGGGAGCACUAAUGCUAGAACUGUACAUAAGCUGCUGUUAAAAGCCCGAGCACAGUAUUCAUCAGGGUGCCAGUCACUUCCUUGCGUGUUUGUUGAUGUCUCAACCCAUAAAUCCAGCUCCUUUGUCAAUGAAGUUCUCAUUCUCAGUUCCAUGAAAGCUUAACUUCUGUGCCAAAAAUAAAUUACUCAUGCCUUCUUUUGAACUUAAUAUUUUGAAACGUCACACAGUUAAGAAUAUUUUGUAAGGUAUUCAUAUGGACAAGGAAUCAAAGGGCUGUAAGUAGUUGAGGGAUGUCACAGGGGAACGUUAUUAGAGGCAAUGUUGUCUAAGCAAGCCAAUCAUGCAGACCACAGAGACCACUGAAUUAUUUUGCAAAUACGGACAGCAUGUUGGAUAGCCCCAUGUUGAGUUCUCUCUCUCCCCUUUUGUUGUAACAUCUAAUACAACUUGUCCUUUGCCCUGAGGUUAUUACACUAUGCAUUUCCCUGCCCCUGUUCCAUAUCAUUAGCUGUCAUUGAUGAGAAGGGGGAAAUGUUCUGUAUAAUGAUAUCUGCAUUUGGUGUACAUAGGAACAUAGGAACCUGCUAUAUACUGAGUCAGCCCAUUGGUCUAUCUAGCUCAGUAUUGUCUUCACAGACUGGCAGCGGCUUCUCCAAGGUUGCAGAGAGGAAUCUCUCUCAGUCCUAUCUUGGAGAAGCCAGGGAGGGAACUUGAAACCUUAUGUUCUUCCCAGAGCGGCUUCAUCCCCUGAGGGGAAUAUCAUGCAGUGCUCACACAUCAAGUCUCCCAUUCAUAUGCAACCAGGGCAGACCCUGCUUAGCUAUGGGGACAAGUCAUGCUUGCUACCACAAGACCAGCUCUCCUCUCCAAGGAGAGAGUGUAAACUGCAUGAUGCAUUACGAUAAAAGAGUGAAUGUGAUAUGAAGCUGCCAUUUGUGUUUCUUGCAACAUAUAGUUUCACCCUUAGAGACAUAUUCUAACAAUCAUGUAGACAAGAAACUUAGUAGGGAUGCUAGCUCUUUUUUCUGUUAGCGGCAGUCCCUCAACCAUGGAAGGCCAUCAUCCUCACGCACUGCUUGUAAGCUCCCAGAGGCAUCUAGCAGCUCCCUGUUGGAAACAGAUUAUUGGCCUGGAUGGACCUUAGUCUGAUCCAAUACAGCAAUGUUUUUGUUCUUACAUUCUGUGCUUUUAACAGCUGUGUGACAAGCAAUAAUUCAGGAGGUGAAGCUGCCCUAUCACUGCAUCUGCAUGCUGGGAAAUGCUUCACUGUUGAAAUUCUGCUUGUUAAAGAUGCAGAAGCCCUGCCAAGAACAAAAAAGUUGGCAAGUCAAGAAACUUGCCCUUUUUAAAAAAGAAAAACAAGACUCCCUGAAAUAUAAAUUCUGCAUCAGAUAUCGUAUUCCAUGCUGUUCUUCCACAUUUGUUUCAUUGUGAGUUGAUAUUUUCAGGCUGUGCCACAUAUAUGUGAAUUUCAGCGGCCAUGCUGAGGACCCACAAGUUUUAAGAUAUGAAUUUGUAUCAUGUUAAAAUCUGUUGGUUUUAAUUUUGUGGCUGAUUUUAAAUUUUUGAAUUGUUUUAAUUUUU
Molecule: long non-coding RNA, 3422 nt
Organism: Hemicordylus capensis (graceful crag lizard)
Lineage: Eukaryota; Metazoa; Chordata; Lepidosauria; Squamata; Cordylidae
Exons: 2
Source: RefSeq, a predicted model, not a curated record